CCUACGGGAGGCAGCAGUGAGGAAUAUUGGUCAAUGGGCGUAAGCCUGAACCAGCCAAGUCGCGUGAGGGAUGAAGGUUCUAUGGAUCGUAAACCUCUUUUAUAAGGGAAUAAAGUGCGGGACGUGUCCCGCUUUGUAUGUACCUUAUGAAUAAGGACCGGCUAACUCCGUGCCAGCAGCCGCGGUAAUACGGAGGUUCCGAGCGUUAUCCGGAUUUAUUGGGUUUAAAGGGUGCGUAGGCGGCCUUUUAAGUCAGCGGUGAAAGUCUGUGGCUCAACCCUAGGAUUGCCGUUGAAACUGGGAGGGUUGAGUAUGGUUGAGGCAGGCGGAAUGCGGGGUGUAGCGGUGAAAUGCUUAGA
Molecule: ribosomal RNA, 359 nt
Filed under: uncultured bacterium
Lineage: Bacteria
Description: partial 16S ribosomal RNA
Rfam family: Bacterial small subunit ribosomal RNA
Source: RNAcentral